CCUACGGGGGGCAGCAGUGGGGAAUAUUGCGCAAUUGGCGAAAGCCUGACGCAGCGACGCCGCGUGAGGGAUGAAGGUCUUCGGAUCGUAAACCUCUGUCAGCAGGGAAGAACGGUCACUGUGCUAAUCAGCAGUGAAUUGACGGUACCGGCAAAGGAAGCACCGGCUAACUCCGUGCCAGCAGCCGCGGUAAUACGGAGGGUGCGAGCGUUAAUCGGAAUUACUGGGCGUAAAGCGCUCGUAGGCGGUAGGUCGAGUCAAGGGUGAAAUCCCCGGGCUCAACGUGGGAACUGCCUUUGAAACUGGCAAGCUAGAGUGUGUGAGAGGGUAGUGGAAUUCCAGGUGUAGGGGUGAAAUCCGUAGAUAUCUGGAGGAACAUCAGUGGCGAAGGCGACUAUCUGGCCCAUGACUGACGCUGAGGUGCGAAAGCGUGGGUAGCAAACAGGAUUAGAUACCCUAGUAGUC
This 465-nucleotide ribosomal RNA is filed under the name uncultured bacterium. RNAcentral describes it as "partial 16S ribosomal RNA". It matches the Rfam family "Bacterial small subunit ribosomal RNA", at positions 338 to 795 of the family's 1533-position model. The record is from RNAcentral.